Molecule: long non-coding RNA, 172 nt
Organism: Drosophila navojoa
Lineage: Eukaryota; Metazoa; Arthropoda; Insecta; Diptera; Drosophilidae
Source: RefSeq, a predicted model, not a curated record
UCUCAAGUGUGUACACUGAGAGAAAUGAAAUUACAAAUGUUGUAUGAGAUUUGAAAUGUCAAAAAUUUAUAUCUUACAGUUACUGCCAGUCGCCGGCUUCAGUAUGGAUUGGUUGGUGCUAAUUGAAUGGCCGCCACUGUGUAGCGGCGCCUACACUACGCUCCAUAAAAAA